GUGCUCACUUCAGCAGCACAUAUACUAAAAUUGAAAUGAUACAGAGGACUUUAGCAUGACCCCUGUGCAAGGAUGACAUGCAAAUUUUUGAAGUGUUCCAUAUUUUA
Piliocolobus tephrosceles (Ugandan red Colobus) is the source of this 107-nucleotide small nuclear RNA. NCBI's taxonomy places the organism in Eukaryota, Metazoa, Chordata, Mammalia, Primates, Cercopithecidae. The record is from Ensembl.